AUACUCAUCUGGCAGGGGAGAUGCCAUAAUCACAAAAAGGGUAUUCCCAGGGUGAGGCUUCUCCAGUGCACUCCUGAUGUGUUGACCCCUCAAUUUCCCCAAAUGUGGGAAACUGGACUGCACAAUUUGUGGUAGCAGGGGACCACACUCACCCUCUC
Small nuclear RNA from Sorex araneus (European shrew), 158 nucleotides. RefSeq annotates it as U1 spliceosomal RNA. NCBI's taxonomy places the organism in Eukaryota, Metazoa, Chordata, Mammalia, Eulipotyphla, Soricidae. The record is from RefSeq and is a predicted model, not a curated record. The transcript has a single exon.